Molecule: ribosomal RNA, 465 nt
Filed under: uncultured bacterium
Lineage: Bacteria
Description: bacterial SSU rRNA
Rfam family: Bacterial small subunit ribosomal RNA
Source: RNAcentral
AAUCAACGCUGGCGGCAUGCCUAACACAUGCAAGUCGAACGGGAAAGUGGGAGCAAUCCCAUGAGUAUAGUGGCGCACGGGUGAGUAACACGUGACUAACCUACCCUCGAGUGGGGAAUAACCCCGGGAACCGGGGCUAACACCGCAUAAUACCGCAAGGUCAAAUGCGCAAGCAGCUUGAGGAGGGGGUCGCGGUUGAUUAGCUAGUUGGUAGGGUAAUGGCCUACCAAGGCAGNGAUCAAUAGCCGGCCUGAGAGGGCGCACGGCCACACUGGAACUGAAACACGGUCCAGACUCCUACGGGAGGCAGCAGUGGGGAAUUUUGCGCAAUGGGGGAAACCCUGACGCAGCAAUGCCGCGUGGAGGAUGAAGUCCUUUGGGAUGUAAACUCCUUUCGAUCGGGAAGAUAAUGACGGUACCGGAAGAAGAAGCCCCGGCUAACUCUGUGCCAGCCGCCGCUGUAAC